UUCCAGGGAAGAAUGAUGAUAACAUCACUGUCAUCACUGCUGCAUGAGAAUAAGGAGUUCUACAGUCCAGAUAGGUUUGACCCUGGACACUUUCUACAUGGGAAUGGAAACUUUAAGAACAGUGACUACUUCUUUUUUUUUUCAGCAGGUAAUUAAAACUCACUUUCUGGUGCCUGAAUUAUAGUUUCAGUUGUGAUAAAACAUGAUGACCAAAAGCAAUUUGGAGAGCAAUGUGUUUAGUUCAUCUGUCACCUUGAUCAAUAACAUCAAAAAUCUAUUAAAAAUUUCAAGACAACCACCUAGAGUCUGGAAUUGAUGCAGAAGUCAUGAAGGUGUGCUGUUAACAAAUUUCCAACAGCCUGCUUUCUAAUAAAAUCCAGAACCAAGAGCCAAGUGGUGGCACUACCUACAGUGACCUGGGUCCUGCCCAACUAAUCAUCAAUCACAAAAGCAAUAUUACAAAGACACCAAAGAAGUCCUUACUAACUUCUUCUGGAAAUUAAACGUCAUUUAUUUCAUAGAAAGGCAUUUAAGCCCAAGAAUAAAGUCAGAGGUGUACACUAUCAAAAGGCAAGUCCAUGUAAAAACUGUUGCUUUGAAUUUUCAAUUAGUAUAUUAUAAUGAAACACUGCAUUGAAGUUAAUAUUAACAUCAUUGCCUUCUGUAACUUCAAAUUCAUGUAACAUUUAUCUCUGAGCUAAUUUUCUAGAGCAUAUUUUGUCUAAGAAGGUAUAAAAAGACGAGAAAAAUAGAAAUAAAGUCACUGCUGUUGGUUGAA
Molecule: RNA transcript, 778 nt
Organism: Grammomys surdaster
Lineage: Eukaryota; Metazoa; Chordata; Mammalia; Rodentia; Muridae
Gene name: cytochrome P450 2C29-like
Exons: 3
Source: RefSeq, a predicted model, not a curated record